AUGCCAACCACUUCCGACAAGGAACUUCUGCAAGCACACGCCGAGCUUUGGAACCUCACUUUUAGCUACCUAAAAUCCAUGGCGCUCGAGUGUGCCAUCAAUCUAGGGGUUCCCACCGCCAUCCACCGAUGUGGCGGCACUGCCUCAUUGCCAGACCUACUUGCCACCCUUCCCAUACCUGAGAGCAAGAAGUCCUACCUCCCUCGCCUCAUGAGGUUCCUCGUCGCCUCAGGUAUCUUUACGGUUGAUGUCCCCGCAAUAGGGGAGUGCGCUAAGGUGGGUGCAACUAGUACCUACUGUCUCACACCGUUAUCUUAUCUCCUCGUGGAUGGAGACGACACCGACGCCCACCAGCGCACAAGCCUCUCGCCGUUUGUGCUCUCGCAGACCAACAAGUACCAUGUAACAGCGGCCAUGCACUUCUCUGAGUGGUUCACGAGCGACGAAGGCUCAGCCUCGGCUGAGAUGCCAUACAUGAUGGCAAAUGGCACAAAUCCAUGGGCAAUCAUGGCUCGUGAUCCAAAGCUAAAUCAGGUCUUCAACGCUGGCAUGGCGGCUGAUACCCAAUUUGCAAUGAACUUCAUCAUCAGCAAUUGUGGCGAGGUGUUCGAGGGGGUUACCUCGAUAGUUGACGUUGCCGGUGGGACGGGUACGGCGGCGAGGGCAAUUGCCAAGGCCUUCCCAGACAUUAAGUGCUUAGUUCUAGACCUCCCUAACGUUAUCAAUUCCAUCUCAUCCGACGGAACAGUGGAGUACAUUGUAGGUGACAUGAUGAGUUCCAUCCCAAGGACUGAUGCGGUGUUCCUCAAGUAUGUGUUGCAUGACUGGAACGAUGAGGAUUGUGUGAAAAUCCUAACACAGUGCAAGAAGGCGAUCCCCAAACCAGGGGGAAAAGUGAUAAUUGUGGAUAUGGUAGUCGGGUGUCCUUCCAAAUCCAUGUUCAAAGCCCAAGUCUUGUUCGAUUUGCUGAUGAUGGUGAUGACAUCAGGCAAGGAGCGUGAAGAGCAUGAGUGGGGCAAGAUAUUCAUGGAUGCAGGGUUCAACGACUACAAGACAAGGCCUGUUAUGGGGUGUAUGGCCGUCACCGAGCUGUAUCCUUAG
Molecule: ribosomal RNA, 1101 nt
Filed under: Triticum aestivum (bread wheat)
Lineage: Eukaryota; Viridiplantae; Streptophyta; Magnoliopsida; Poales; Poaceae
Description: partial small subunit ribosomal RNA
Source: RNAcentral